This is a non-coding RNA of Meleagris gallopavo (turkey), 980 nucleotides long. The record is from RefSeq and is a predicted model, not a curated record. NCBI's taxonomy places the organism in Eukaryota, Metazoa, Chordata, Aves, Galliformes, Phasianidae.
AGCUGCAGAAGUGAACUUUAAGCAAGCGAACCCAGCGCUUAAUAUGGUGUAUAUUUCCUUUCCUAGGGAGGAGAUUUGCCCAGCCUAACAGAUGUACGCAGGCCCAGGCUUUACCUCCUACAGUGGCUUAAAUCUGAUAAAGCAUUGAUGAUGCUCUUUAAUGAUGGCACAUUUCAAGUGAACUUCUAUCACGAUCACACAAAAAUCAUCAUUUGCAAUCAGAGUGAGGAGUAUCUCCUUACCUACAUCAAUGAAGACAGGAUAUCAACAACGUUUCGUCUGACAACUCUUCUGGUUUCAGGAUGCUCACUGGAACUAAAACAUAGAAUGGAAUAUGCUCUGAACAUGCUACUGCAGCGAUGUAACUGAAGGGACUGACUCCGUUAAACCAUACGGACCCUCUUGUUCACUGUGAAAUCUACAGUGGGGAUAUUGAAGCAACUAGUAUGUUAAUGGGGAUAUGUGGUGGUACGAAAACCUGACUGUCAUAGUGUGCUGGGCACACUUCUGUUACAGACGCCUGAUCCUACUGUUGGACUAAAAUGGUGUGACAAGGAGUUCUUCGGACCGUAGUUUUCCUUGCUUCAUGUGUGUGUUAAAGAUAUCUUUGACUUGAAUUCUGAGCAGAGCGUGACUUCUUGCUCCUCUAUAAGAGAGCAUUUUUGAUGGAGUUAAACUGUGAAUAUGCAUCUGGAAAGGGAGGGAAGGGCAAAAUCCAUGGUUAUGGAAUAGCUGUAAUAAGCAGCUUCUGGCUGCUUAACUGUGAACUAUGGCCAUACUUUUUUCUUUUUUUUUUUUUCUAGAAACUACCCACACUUGUGGCUGGCAAAGUGCAUUCCUUCUUAAUAACUUUUUUAUUUAUUACAGCCCAAAGUGAAGUAUUUAUUACACUAAUUUUUUUUUCUUUUUUUCUUUUUUUUUUUUGAUCUUGACAUUUUGAAUAUAACUCUAUUGGAAAUAAAGUGAAUGGAAAACCUGAA